UUUAUGGAGAGUUUGAUCCUGGCUCAGGAUGAACGCUGGCGGCGUGCCUAAUACAUGCAAGUCGAGCGAACGGACGAGAAGCUUGCUUCUCUGAUGUUAGCGGCGGACGGGUGAGUAACACGUGGAUAACCUACCUAUAAGACUGGGAUAACUUCGGGAAACCGUAGCUAAUACCGGAUAAUAUUUUGAACCGCAUGGUUCAAAAGUGAAAGACGGUCUUGCUGUCACUUAUAGAUGGAUCCGCGCUGCAUUAGCUAGUUGGUAAGGUAACGGCUUACCAAGGCAACGAUGCAUAGCCGACCUGAGAGGGUGAUCGGCCACACUGGAACUGAGACACGGUCCAGACUCCUACGGGAGGCAGCAGUAGGGAAUCUUCCGCAAUGGGCGAAAGCCUGACGGAGCAACGCCGCGUGAGUGAUGAAGGUCUUCGGAUCGUAAAACUCUGUUAUUAGGGAAGAACAUAUGUGUAAGUAACUGUGCACAUCUUGACGGUACCUAAUCAGAAAGCCACGGCUAACUACGUGCCAGCAGCCGCGGUAAUACGUAGGUGGCAAGCGUUAUCCGGAAUUAUUGGGCGUAAAGCGCGCGUAGGCGGUUUUUUAAGUCUGAUGUGAAAGCCCACGGCUCAACCGUGGAGGGUCAUUGGAAACUGGAAAACUUGAGUGCAGAAGAGGAAAGUGGAAUUCCAUGUGUAGCGGUGAAAUGCGCAGAGAUAUGGAGGAACACCAGUGGCGAAGGCGACUUUCUGGUCUGUAACUGACGCUGAUGUGCGAAAGCGUGGGGAUCAAACAGGAUUAGAUACCCUGGUAGUCCACGCCGUAAACGAUGAGUGCUAAGUGUUAGGGGGUUUCCCGCCCCUUAGUGCUGCAGCUAACGCAUUAAGCACUCCGCCUGGGGAGUACGACCGCAAGGUUGAAACUCAAAGGAAUUGACGGGGACCCGCACAAGCGGUGGAGCAUGUGGUUUAAUUCGAAGCAACGCGAAGAACCUUACCAAAUCUUGACAUCCUUUGACAACUCUAGAGAUAGAGCCUUCCCCUUCGGGGGACAAAGUGACAGGUGGUGCAUGGUUGUCGUCAGCUCGUGUCGUGAGAUGUUGGGUUAAGUCCCGCAACGAGCGCAACCCUUAAGCUUAGUUGCCAUCAUUAAGUUGGGCACUCUAAGUUGACUGCCGGUGACAAACCGGAGGAAGGUGGGGAUGACGUCAAAUCAUCAUGCCCCUUAUGAUUUGGGCUACACACGUGCUACAAUGGACAAUACAAAGGGCAGCGAAACCGCGAGGUCAAGCAAAUCCCAUAAAGUUGUUCUCAGUUCGGAUUGUAGUCUGCAACUCGACUACAUGAAGCUGGAAUCGCUAGUAAUCGUAGAUCAGCAUGCUACGGUGAAUACGUUCCCGGGUCUUGUACACACCGCCCGUCACACCACGAGAGUUUGUAACACCCGAAGCCGGUGGAGUAACCUUUUAGGAGCUAGCCGUCGAAGGUGGGACAAAUGAUUGGGGUGAAGUCGUAACAAGGUAGCCGUAUCGGAAGGUGCGGCUGGAUCACCUCCUUU
Molecule: ribosomal RNA, 1553 nt
Organism: Staphylococcus aureus subsp. aureus NCTC 8325
Lineage: Bacteria; Bacillati; Bacillota; Bacilli; Caryophanales; Staphylococcaceae
Rfam family: Bacterial small subunit ribosomal RNA
Source: Rfam